GUAGGGUGCGAGCGUUAGUCGGAAUUACUGGGCGUAAAGCGUGCGCAGGCGGUUGUGUAAGUCAGAUGUGAAAUCCCCGGGCUCAACCUGGGAACUGCAUUUGAGACUGCACGGUUAGAGUGUGGCAGAGGGGGGUGGAACUCCACGUGUAGCAGUGAAAUGCGUAGAGAUGUGGAGGAACACCGAUGGCGAAGGCAGCCCCCUGGGCCAAUACUGACGCUCAUGCACGAAAGCGUGGGGAGCAAACAGGAUUAGAUACCCUGGUAGUCCACGCCCUAAACGAUGUCAACUAGGUGUUGGAAGGGUUAAACCUUUUAGUGCCGUAGCUAACGCGUGAAGUUGACCGCCUGGGGAGUGCGGCCGCAAGGCUA
Molecule: ribosomal RNA, 371 nt
Filed under: uncultured bacterium
Lineage: Bacteria
Description: bacterial SSU rRNA
Rfam family: Bacterial small subunit ribosomal RNA
Source: RNAcentral